CUGUGGGAGAGAACCAGGCAAGAGGCUUCGACCCGU
Molecule: small RNA, 36 nt
Filed under: Propionibacterium australiense
Lineage: Bacteria; Bacillati; Actinomycetota; Actinomycetes; Propionibacteriales; Propionibacteriaceae
Description: CRISPR_Spacer
Source: RNAcentral